AAAAUGACAUCCAAAAUUUGGUUUGUUUGCUUUAGUCAGACAGUGCCGAAUUAUUGGGAUUUGGGUUCUGUCAAAUAUUUGUUUGGCUGACCUUAAAAUAAUUUAGCCAGAUCAUGAAAAAAGGUAUGGGUGAUAAGGCGUAAUAGUUGGUACUCUUUCGUGUCCAUCCCUUUCGCUGAAAGCCUUAUCUAUUUUUGUAAAAAGUUGGCUCAAUAAUAUGGAAAAUUUGAAAAAAUAUAGUUUUUUUUUCAACCAUUG
This 258-nucleotide unclassified non-coding RNA is filed under the name uncultured Endogone. RNAcentral's name for it is "sequence contains ITS2". The record is from RNAcentral. Lineage: Eukaryota; Fungi; Mucoromycota; Endogonomycetes; Endogonales; Endogonaceae.